Molecule: long non-coding RNA, 1384 nt
Filed under: Nicotiana benthamiana
Lineage: Eukaryota; Viridiplantae; Streptophyta; Magnoliopsida; Solanales; Solanaceae
Description: long non-coding RNA (NBEN_LNC040275)
Source: RNAcentral
AAGAGAAUGAGAUCAAGUAAUAAUGAUGUUUUGGCUUAUAUUUAUAAAAAGAAAAAAGAUAGUGAUGCUUUAGGUUCCACUGUGUCUGCUGCAUGAAUAUAGAGUGGUUAUAUUUUAAUAAAGAUCUUUGUCUGCUAGUUUGAAUGCCAUACUUUCUGAUCUGUAUUAUGCUGAUAAAAUUAUUCGAGUUAUGCAUUCUUUGGCCUAACAUUUGUAAUAGAGGUUUUGACUAGGCUGCAGACUUAAUCCUGCUACAGCAGCUCUAGUGCCUCGUAGUUAACCAGCACAAAAUGGUCUAUGCUAUACCAAUUAGAUUUAGGUUAAAGGCAGCAUUAAGCAUGGACUUAAUCCUGCUACAGCAGCUCUAAUGCCUCGUAUUUAAUCAGCACAAAAUGGUCUAUGCUAUACUAAUUAGAUUUAGGUUAAAGGCAGCAUUAAGCAUGAGUUGUAACACCAUGCUCUGAAUUACAGGAAUUGUUUGUCAUUUGGAAUUUUGGACAACUUAAAUGCAUUUUGAUGAUCUAUUGCCUUUAUCCUGUUAGAAAAUCUUAUCAUAUCCAUAGGUAGGACAUACUUCUGUAGCGUUUAGCAUUUUUCUUCAACAAGUAUAUCUGAUUCAUUGAAUAAAAGAAAGGUCGAAUGUUUUUAGAGGCUUUAGAUGAUUUUAGUACUUUGUAGCGGGGCGUUAUGAUGGUAAGCAACCCCCACUUCUAACCGAGAGAUUGUGAGUUCGAGUCUCCCCAAGAGCAAGGUGAGAAGUUAUUGGAGGGAAGGAUGUCGGGGGUCUAUUUGGAAACAGCCUCUCUACCUCAGGGUAGGGCUAAGGUCUGCGUACCCCAGAUCCUACUAAGUGAGAUUAUACUGGGUUGUUGGUGUUGUUGUUGUUGUUCUUUGCACAAAUCUUUUAGUUUAUUUCUAUAAUCUCCUCAAACUUGAACUUAAUCAAGUUAAAUCUUGUAAUUUUGGGUGUACAUAUACGUACUAUAAAUGGGUUGUUCUUAGCCUUAUGAAAGGCACACUUGAAGUGAAUAAAAUACUUUACCUCUUUCAAUUCUUGUUGUAUCUCAAUAGCAAUAGUCUUGUAGCUAAGAGUACUCGGGCCUUUACCAGCUGAGCUACCCGUCAGGGUUAUACUUCCCAACUGAUAUAUACAUACUCUGGCACUAAUUGAUAAAACAAAACCUUCUGUAGUCUGUUCAAAUUUUACAUCCUUAUUCAUGUGCUGGCUAUUGUUUGUUUAUAUUUGACACCAAUAGUUUCCUAGUGCAUAUACUCGAUUUAAGGUUAGUAAAGAACUAGAAAUUAGUCCUUUCAUAAAUGAUCUCAGCAAGUGAACUAGCAAAAAAUAUUGGUUUCAUCAUCUCCUGAACUUUGAAAUGCUGGU